UGGGGAAUUUUGGACAAUGGGCGAAAGCCUGAUCCAGCAAUGCCGCGUGUGUGAAGAAGGCCUUCGGGUUGUAAAGCACUUUUGUCCGGAAAGAAAUCCUUGGCUCUAAUACAGUCGGGGGAUGACGGUACCGGAAGAAUAAGCACCGGCUAACUACGUGCCAGCAGCCGCGGUAAUACGUAGGGUGCAAGCGUUAAUCGGAAUUACUGGGCGUAAAGCGUGCGCAGGCGGUUUGCUAAGACCGAUGUGAAAUCCCCGGGCUCAACCUGGGAACUGCAUUGGUGACUGGCAGGCUAGAGUAUGGCAGAGGGGGGUAGAAUUCCACGUGUAGCAGUGAAAUGCGUAGAGAUGUGGAGGAAUACCGAUGGCGAAGGCAGCCCCCUGGGCCAAUACUGACGCUCAUGCACGAAAGCGUGGGGAGCAAACAGGAUUAGAUACCCUGGUAGUCCACGCCCUAAAACGAUGUCAACUAGUUGUUGGGGAUUCAUUUCCUUAGUAACGUAGCUAACGCGUGAAGUUGACCGCCUGGGGAGUACGGUCGCAAGAUUAAAACUUAAAGAAUUGACGGGGUCAUAGCUGUUUCCU
RNAcentral lists this ribosomal RNA (585 nucleotides) under uncultured bacterium. RNAcentral describes it as "partial 16S ribosomal RNA". It matches the Rfam family "Bacterial small subunit ribosomal RNA", at positions 355 to 1375 of the family's 1533-position model. The record is from RNAcentral.